AAGCGGCAAGAGCUCAAAUUUGAAAUCUGGCUCUUUCAGAGUCCGAGUUGUAAUUUGUAGAGGAUGUUUCGGACACGACCCCGGUUUAAAUUUCUUGGAACAGAAUGUCAAAGAGGGUGAGAACCCCGUCUUGAGCCGGCGGUACGGUCUAUGUGAAACUCCUUCGACGAGUCGAGUUGUUUGGGAAUGCAGCUCAAAAUGGGUGGUAAAUUUCAUCUAAAGCUAAAUAUUGGCCAGAGACCGAUAGCGCACAAGUAGAGUGAUCGAAAGAUGAAAAGCACUUUGAAAAGAGAGUUAAACAGUAUGUGAAAUUGUUGAAAGGGAAGCGCUUGCAACCAGACUUGAGCGCGGUGGUUCCCCCUUCCUUCUGGUUGGGCUAUUCCACCGUGUCCAGGCCAACAUCAGUUUUGGCGGCCGGUUAAAGGCUCUGGGAAUGUAUCUAGUCCUUCGGGGCUAGACUUAUAGCCCGGAGCGUCAUGCGGCCUGCUGAGACUGAGGAACGCGCUUCGGCUCGGAUGUUGGCGUAAUGGUUGUAAGCGACCCGUCUUGAAACACGGACCAAGGAGUCUAACAUCUAUGCGAGUGUUAGGGUGUCAAACCCUUACGCGCAAUGAAAGUGAACGGAGGUAGGAAGGCUUAAGCCUGCACUAUCGACCGAUCCUGAUGUCUUCGGAUGGAUUUGAGUAAGAGCAUAGCUGUUGGGACCCGAAAGAUGGUGAAC
This 721-nucleotide ribosomal RNA is filed under the name Cladophialophora modesta. Its description in RNAcentral is "eukaryotic LSU rRNA". It matches the Rfam family "Eukaryotic large subunit ribosomal RNA", at positions 96 to 831 of the family's 3401-position model. Lineage: Eukaryota; Fungi; Ascomycota; Eurotiomycetes; Chaetothyriales; Herpotrichiellaceae. The record is from RNAcentral.